CCUACGGGCGGCUGCAGUGGGGAAUAUUGCACAAUGGGGGAAACCCUGACGCAGCGACGCCGCGUGAGUGAAGAAGUAAUUCGUUAUGUAAAGCUCUAUCAUCAGGGAAGAAAAUGACGGUACCUGAGUAAGAAGCACCGGCUAACUACGUGCCAGCAGCCGCGGUAAUACGUAGGGGGCAAGCGUUAUCCGGAUUUACUGGGUGUAAAGGGAGCGUAGACGGCAGUGCAAGUCAGGAGUGAAAGGCGGGGGCUCAACCCCCGGACUGCUCUUGAAACUGUACGGCUGGAGUGCGGGAGAGGUAAGUGGAAUUCCUGGUGUAGCGGUGAAAUGCGUAGAUAUUAGGAGGAACACCAGUGGCGAAGGCGGCUUACUGGACUGUAACUGACGUUGAGGCUCGAAAGCGUGGGGAGCAAACAGGAUUAGAUACCCUAGUAGUC
RNAcentral lists this ribosomal RNA (440 nucleotides) under uncultured bacterium. Its description in RNAcentral is "partial 16S ribosomal RNA". It matches the Rfam family "Bacterial small subunit ribosomal RNA", at positions 338 to 795 of the family's 1533-position model. The record is from RNAcentral.